Molecule: long non-coding RNA, 414 nt
Organism: Macadamia integrifolia
Lineage: Eukaryota; Viridiplantae; Streptophyta; Magnoliopsida; Proteales; Proteaceae
Exons: 2
Source: RefSeq, a predicted model, not a curated record
AGACUGUGAGGCUCCUUGAGGGGAAAACUGAAUGCAAAUAGCUCUUGUUACGACCCAAUGCUGAUGGCCCAAGCAAAACUCCUCCCUGCAAACAUUGAAGAAUAACCAAUACACAAAACUGAGUGAUAGAGAGAUGCAAUGACACGAGGUUGCCUGAGUGGUCUGAGGAAAUAAGCAAGAGUCCGUGUGACUGUGACGACAAGGCAAAUCUGUAGAAUAGCGAGAGGUAGUGCAUAGUGUAGAGGAUUGUUCCCUUGGAAGACUCCAUUAGAUGUAGCCGCCAUGGGAGCUGGACAUACAGUGGCAUUGGAAGCCAUUUCUUCCACCAAUAUGUUGAAUUUCAGGUAUUUUUCUCUACUACAGGACCUUCAAACAGAAUAAAAGCUUCUUAAUUCCAAUUACAGAUUUUCAAUA